UNGUGCUUCUAGCCCAGUCACAUUCACUUC
Molecule: non-coding RNA, 30 nt
Filed under: Mus musculus (house mouse)
Lineage: Eukaryota; Metazoa; Chordata; Mammalia; Rodentia; Muridae
Source: RNAcentral